Long non-coding RNA from Manis pentadactyla (Chinese pangolin), 2017 nucleotides. RefSeq lists it as uncharacterized. The record is from RefSeq and is a predicted model, not a curated record. NCBI's taxonomy places the organism in Eukaryota, Metazoa, Chordata, Mammalia, Pholidota, Manidae. The transcript is spliced from 2 exons.
UUUCCCUAUAGAGCCUGGAGGCCACUCUGUGCACAGGCAUGACAAAUACUACUUUCUCCUUUGACGAAUAAUGAAACUGCAGUUAAAUAACUUAAAUAAUUACAAUCACAGAGCUAAACAAAUGUAAACCCAGAUCUGAUUCUGAAUGUUCUCUCUGACUUGUGAUUCUUGCUCUAAGGGGGCCUAAAACUCUGGAAAAAUAAUCCUGCCCCUGCCUUCAGCCUGGUUCUUGCCUCGGUGAGCCUUCUUUCUCGAUCCAGGUGUCCAUAAACAACAUUUGGUCUUGUUUUGUGCAGCUUGUUAAUUUUUUUUUACAAAUUAUGCAAUUAAAUUAUGAAAUGUGUAACUCGAGUGUUUGUGUCUUCUCCCACAAAGCCAUCAUAUAUCAUGUCUCCCAUGGGCAUCAGAAAUUCAUUCCUGCCCUUCCGUGGUCGUCCUCUUCCCCGCUGUGUGCGUCACUUCUCCGCUCAUUUCCCCUGACACUGCUCCUCCUUUCUGAGCCAUGGCUGCUUCCCUCACUUCGCCUGUCUGUUCCCCACCUCCCUCUUUACUUCUCCCCAAGGCCCCGGAGUUGCUUUCUUUGGAGACGGUGUCUACCCACUCUUUCUUUCCAGAGCUUCGGCCAGCUGGCCCUAGAAAUCAAUCAGUGGCCCAUCAGAGACCAGGCUAGCAGCUGUCACACUCACCAUGGAAUUUAGCAACUACUUCUUCAAACAGAAAAACACCUGCCAGAGUCCCAACCCCACCUUCUCCUGCACGCCCAGGCCCAAACCACAGCACCGGCCUCCAUCCUCGGUGAGACUGACUGCCUCCCAGCAUCUCUCUGAACGAGACCCAGCAAGUUCUUCCACGUCCACUGCUUCCUUCCUGAAGAGAAGAAACACUGUCUCCAGCCUCAACCUGCUGAAUGGAAUCACCACGGAAUUCUUCCAGCAGCCCUGGCCUUUCACACCUGAGACAUUUUCCAAACUAAACCUGGUGUCUCUGGAUCUGAGGGUCAUGUCAGAAAUUUGCCUGUUCUCGCCCCACGUGGAUGAUAACAGGGUUCUCCCAUUACACAGUCCUUGCUGAGCUGCUGUGCUGGUCCUCUCCAAAGGGGAGGCUCUCGGUGAAGGCACCCACUUUCUCAGAGUCCUUCUCUUAUCCUGCUUUUGUCUGGGGCACAGCUUGCUGGACUGGAAGGAGCAGUAGAUUGAGUUCAGACCCGUGUGUUUGAAGCCUGCCUCUGCCUCUGUUCUCUGUAUAAUGGCAGGCACGCUGCCUCACCUUGUAUAGCUUUGGUUUUCCUAUCUCUGUAAUGGGGUACAGGGUAGUCUGAAAGAUGGUCCCCCAAAAGAUUCCACAUCCUAAUCCCUGGAACCAGCAAAUGUUGCUUUUUUGGAAAAAAGGGUCUUUGAAGAUAUAAUUAAAAUGAGAUGAUCCUGGUGGGCCCUAAUGCCAUCACAAUGUCUUUAGGAGAGGGAGGUAGAGGGAAAUCGCAGACAGAAGAGGAGGGGGCAGCGUGACCGUAGAGGCAAAGAUUAGAGUGAUGCAGCCACAGUCCAGGAAUGCAAGCAGCCAGCAGAGCCUGGAAGAGACAAAGCACAGAUUCUUCCCGGGGCCUCCCAGGGUAGCACCUCCUGCUAUUGUAGGCUGAAUUGUGUCUCUUCAAAAGUCAUCUGUUGGAAGUCUCAGUUCCUAGUACCUCAGAAUGUAACCAUAUUUGGAAAUAAAGGAUGGGACCCUAACUCAACAGGAGUGGUGUCCAUACAAGAAGAGGAAAAGACACCAGGGACACACAUAUGCACAGAGAGAGGAAUUAGAAUCAGAAAAAUGAAGGAAAAUUAGGAGUUCACCUGAACAAUCCCAUCCCUGAGUAACCCCAUAACAUCUCUCUGGAGGCAGGGAAAUAUUUACCUGGCAAUUGUGUUCUAACUCAUCCAGUUGUCUCCCCUUUGUGAUGAAUGCCUAAUCACUAUGGAAAAUAACCUCUUCUCUAAACUAUGUAUUUCAUAACAUAACCUGUACCGGAAAUGUG